Molecule: transfer RNA, 69 nt
Filed under: Uvitellina sp. SSS-2019
Lineage: Eukaryota; Metazoa; Platyhelminthes; Trematoda; Plagiorchiida; Cyclocoelidae
Description: tRNA-Ile
Source: RNAcentral
GCCGUUAGGGCUGCUUGGGCAGGCCAUUGCGAUAUAGUGGUUUUAGAGGUUAGUGUUCCUCCGUCGGUA